UACGGAGGGUGCGAGCGUUGUUCGGAAUCACUGGGCGUAAAGCGCGUGUAGGCGGCUUCCUAAGUCUGAUGUGAAAGCCCGGGGCUUACCCCCGGAAGUGCAUUGGAAACUGAGAGGCUUGAGUACCGGAGAGGAAGGUGGAAUUCCUGGUGUAGCGGUGAAAUGCGUAGAUAUCAGGAGGAACACCGGUGGCGAAGGCGGCCUUCUGGACGGAUACUGACGCUGAGACGCGAAAGCGUGGGGAGCAAACAGG
RNAcentral lists this ribosomal RNA (253 nucleotides) under Deltaproteobacteria bacterium. RNAcentral's name for it is "partial 16S ribosomal RNA". It matches the Rfam family "Bacterial small subunit ribosomal RNA", at positions 524 to 776 of the family's 1533-position model. Lineage: Bacteria; Pseudomonadati; Myxococcota; Myxococcia. The record is from RNAcentral. RNAcentral also lists the same sequence under 1 other name.